GCUUAUUGUUCCCUGUAGCCCCAGGUCCUUUCCUGCAGAGCUGCCUGCCCAGCCAGUCAGGCCCCAGCCUGCAUGGCUCGUGGGCCUGUUCUGCCCUCAGAACCGUGAGAGGAACGGGCGCCAGGGGAGCAAAGGGCGAGAACCGGGGCAUGGCGCUGCUCCAAGGAGCUCCCUUCAGCAAAGGGGCUUGAGGCGCAGCCCGGGCGUGCCGGCCAGGAAGCACUAGCUGCGCCUUUAAAAGGCUGUAGCCCAGCCCAGCCACCCCCACCCGGAUCUGGCUGACGUGGGGAGGAGGCGCCUGCCGCGAACAAAAGUGCUGCCUUGUCGCAGCGCAGCAACAAGUGCGCGGGGCGCGGGCGCAGUGGAUUACAGCGGGGGCGGCCCCGCCGGGGCGCUGCUCCUUAAACCCCUCAGCUCGGCCAUGCGUGGGGCAUGACGGCGGCAGGAUGGGAGCGAACAAUGGCAAGCAGUGCGGCAGCGAGGGCAAAGGCAGCUCAAGCAUCUCAUCUGAUGUGAGUUCAAGUACAGAUCACACACCGACCAAAGCCCAAAAGAAUGUGGCUACCAGUGAAGAUGGACUGUCUGACAGCUCUUUGGAAAAGGAAGAAUUCCAUGGAUUGCACAUCUCAAACAGGUGUCAGUGAAAGUGUUGCCUGUGGAAUGUGAACUGAAUCUCCAAG
RNAcentral lists this long non-coding RNA (680 nucleotides) under Crocodylus porosus (Australian saltwater crocodile). Its description in RNAcentral is "lncRNA (ENSCPRG00005016233.1)". Lineage: Eukaryota; Metazoa; Chordata; Crocodylia; Crocodylidae. The record is from RNAcentral.